CCUUGCCGGGUUUUUGUACGUACUCAUGCACUUGAGCACGAGUUUUUCGUUUUUCCUCUUCAAUAAAUAAUUGAGAAGGUAAUCCAACUAGGAUUUCGUGCCUUUUUCAUCAAAAGAUUAUUGAGGCCAAUUGUACAGCGUUUGUUUGUUUACAUAUUGUGGUUUAACUUUUAUUUAAUAUUUUAACCAUUGUUUUUGUCUUUUGUAGGUUCUUUCUGUUUCUUUUGUUUCAGAAAUGAACUUACAAAAUAGAGGUUCAUGUGGUCAUGUCAAGACAAGGUGGAAUUUCCACAACACUUGCCUUGCAUGUACCGGUUGCACUUGCUUCACAAAUGUGCGGUGUGCGUAUUGUGGGCUUAUGACACAGCUGGUCGCCGACGGACAUCGAUCAGCCACAACGCAACGAACCUACAACAGACGUUGAUUGUCCGGUGACUUCACUGGAUGAUGGUCUUUAAAUUGUUUUGAAUAUACGUACAAUUGAUGUUAUCUUUUACAAUAGUAACUAAGAUAAUAUUAGUUAAUUGUAUUAUAUGCUAAUAAUUAUUGUGCCAUAUGACAAUCUGGUCUAGGACCAGUUAAUUGUUGAAUAUGUUUUAGUCUUAUUUUUCAUAUUCAACUACACGAUGUCUGCAGAGAGGACAUCUGAUGAUAUAGCCUUCGCUAUUCUUUCCCGGGCAGGAUGAGAUCUAUUAGUAAAUAUUGCUUAGAAAGUAGAUCUACAUCACACCUUAUGGCACCAAGAUGGGAAGAAGAGCCAUACGUCGGUAACUGCCCGUUGGCGGUGACCUUGGAGGGUCAUCGCCGGUGACAGUACUGUUCACUUAGUGACGGUCCGUUCACCGGAAAACAAUUUCCGGGUACUGUUCCCGUUAAUUGAGGCGAGACGGGCAAGACGUGGAACACGGAGCUACCUCUCCGUCGAUCGUCGUCAGACCAUUGGGGCGUUCGCCAUUUACCGGUCUGUGCCCGUAGACGUUGACCACGGAGCAACAACGGUACGUCGGUCAAUGUCUCAUUCAGGUUUGUUGAGGUAUGUAUGAUUAUAACAUAUAUACCUAACGUUGACCACGGAGGUUCAAUACUAGUGACGUCACAGUUUCAGAGAUGUUCCUGUAACACGUUGAGGAAACGGUUCCCAUUAACAUAGACGGACAAGACGUGGAACACAGAACUAUCGCAUCGUCGAUCGUCUUCAGAUCAUGGUGCUUUCGCCUUCACCGGUCUGUGCCUGUAGACGUUGACCACGGAGCAACAACGAACACCAGUUACCGGGGACUGAUCCUGUCAUGGAGAAGAAUAUCCGUCACGGGUUCUCGGUACCUAAGAAGAACCUUCUUACGUCGGUUUUUGCCCGAGGA
Long non-coding RNA from Dreissena polymorpha, 1361 nucleotides. RefSeq lists it as uncharacterized. The record is from RefSeq and is a predicted model, not a curated record. The transcript is spliced from 2 exons. NCBI's taxonomy places the organism in Eukaryota, Metazoa, Mollusca, Bivalvia, Myida, Dreissenidae.